AUUGAACGCUGGCGGCAUGCUUUACACAUGCAAGUCGAACGGUAACAGGUUAAGCUGACGAGUGGCGAACGGGUGAGUAAUGCAUCGGAACGUGCCCGAUCGUGGGGGAUAACGCAGCGAAAGCUGCGCUAAUACCGCAUACGAUCUGAGGAUGAAAGCGGGGGACCGUAAGGCCUCGCGCGAUCGGAGCGGCCGAUGUCAGAUUAGGCAGUUGGUGGGGUAAAGGCUCACCAAGCCAACGAUCUGUAGCUGGUCUGAGAGGACGACCAGCCAAACUGGGAAUGGGACACGGCCCAGACUCCUACGGGAGGCAGCAGUGGGGAAUUUUGGACAAUGGGCGCAAGCCUGAUCCAGCAAUGCCGCGUGCAGGAAGAAGGCCUUCGGGUUGUAAACUGCUUUUGUACGGAGCGAAAAGGCUCUCUCUAAUACAGGGGGCUCAUGACGGUACCGUAAGAAUAAGCACCGGCUAACUACGUGCCAGCCGCCGCCGUAA
This 493-nucleotide ribosomal RNA is filed under the name uncultured bacterium. RNAcentral's name for it is "partial 16S ribosomal RNA". It matches the Rfam family "Bacterial small subunit ribosomal RNA", at positions 29 to 523 of the family's 1533-position model. The record is from RNAcentral.